Non-coding RNA from Myotis brandtii (Brandt's bat), 74 nucleotides. The record is from Rfam. Lineage: Eukaryota; Metazoa; Chordata; Mammalia; Chiroptera; Vespertilionidae.
GUCGGUGUUGCUCAGUGGUUAGAGUAUUGGCCUGCACAUCAAAGGGUCAUGGGUUCGAUUCCCAGUCAAGGGCA